GCCGGGCUAGCUCAAUCGGUAGAGCGUGCGGCUCUUAACCGCAAGGCUGCGGGUUCGACCCCCGCGUUCGGCU
Molecule: transfer RNA, 73 nt
Filed under: Histoplasma capsulatum G186AR
Lineage: Eukaryota; Fungi; Ascomycota; Eurotiomycetes; Onygenales; Ajellomycetaceae
Also listed under: 3 other names
Description: tRNA-Lys (CTT) (tRNA-Lys-CTT-1-1, tRNA-Lys-CTT-1-2)
Rfam family: tRNA
About the family: Transfer RNA (tRNA) molecules are approximately 80 nucleotides in length.
Source: RNAcentral